ACGCUCGACACCUACGGGGGCAGCAGUGGGGAAUAUUGCACAAUGGGGGAAACCCUGAUGCAGCGACGCCGCGUGAGCGAAGAAGUAUUUCGGUAUGUAAAGCUCUAUCAGCAGGAAAGAAGAAAGACGGUACCUGACUAAGAAGCCCCGGCUAACUACGUGCAGNCGCGACGUAUCNGAGGCGGNUGACGAGC
This 194-nucleotide ribosomal RNA is filed under the name uncultured bacterium. RNAcentral describes it as "partial 16S ribosomal RNA". It matches the Rfam family "Bacterial small subunit ribosomal RNA", at positions 328 to 540 of the family's 1533-position model. The record is from RNAcentral.